Molecule: transfer RNA, 72 nt
Filed under: Bos taurus (domestic cattle)
Lineage: Eukaryota; Metazoa; Chordata; Mammalia; Artiodactyla; Bovidae
Also listed under: 5 other names
Rfam family: tRNA
About the family: Transfer RNA (tRNA) molecules are approximately 80 nucleotides in length. Their secondary structure includes four short double-helical elements and three loops (D, anti-codon, and T loops).
Source: Rfam by way of RNAcentral
UCCCUGGUGGCUCAGAGGUUAAAGUAUCUGCCUGCAAUGCGGGAGACCUGGGUUCGAUCCCCGGGUUGGGAA